GCCUGGGUGGCUCGGUUGGUUGAGCGUCCGACUUCAGCUCAGGUCAUGAUCUCAUGGUUCGUGGGUUUGAGCCCCACAUCGGGCU
This is a transfer RNA of Felis catus (domestic cat), 85 nucleotides long. It matches the Rfam family "tRNA". From Rfam's summary of the family: Transfer RNA (tRNA) molecules are approximately 80 nucleotides in length. The record is from Rfam. NCBI's taxonomy places the organism in Eukaryota, Metazoa, Chordata, Mammalia, Carnivora, Felidae.